RNAcentral lists this transfer RNA (72 nucleotides) under Danionella translucida. It matches the Rfam family "tRNA". Rfam says of the family: Transfer RNA (tRNA) molecules are approximately 80 nucleotides in length. Their secondary structure includes four short double-helical elements and three loops (D, anti-codon, and T loops). The record is from Rfam by way of RNAcentral. Lineage: Eukaryota; Metazoa; Chordata; Actinopteri; Cypriniformes; Danionidae. RNAcentral also lists the same sequence under 1 other name.
UCCCUGAUGGUCUAGUGGUUAGGAUUUGGUGCUUUCACCGCCGUGGCCCGGGUUCGAUUCCCGGUCAGGGAA